This 476-nucleotide ribosomal RNA is filed under the name Escherichia coli. Its description in RNAcentral is "partial 23S ribosomal RNA". It matches the Rfam family "Bacterial large subunit ribosomal RNA", at positions 734 to 1208 of the family's 2925-position model. Lineage: Bacteria; Pseudomonadati; Pseudomonadota; Gammaproteobacteria; Enterobacterales; Enterobacteriaceae. The record is from RNAcentral.
CCAUGGGCAGGUUGAAGGUUGGGUAACACUAACUGGAGGACCGAACCGACUAAUGUUGAAAAAUUAGCGGAUGACUUGUGGCUGGGGGUGAAAGGCCAAUCAAACCGGGAGAUAGCUGGUUCUCCCCGAAAGCUAUUUAGGUAGCGCCUCGUGAAUUCAUCUCCGGGGGUAGAGCACUGUUUCGGCAAGGGGGUCAUCCCGACUUACCAACCCGAUGCAAACUGCGAAUACCGGAGAAUGUUAUCACGGGAGACACACGGCGGGUGCUAACGUCCGUCGUGAAGAGGGAAACAACCCAGACCGCCAGCUAAGGUCCCAAAGUCAUGGUUAAGUGGGAAACGAUGUGGGAAGGCCCAGACAGCCAGGAUGUUGGCUUAGAAGCAGCCAUCAUUUAAAGAAAGCGUAAUAGCUCACUGGUCGAGUCGGCCUGCGCGGAAGAUGUAACGGGGCUAAACCAUGCACCGAAGCUGCGGCAG